Manis javanica (Malayan pangolin) is the source of this 104-nucleotide small nuclear RNA. The record is from RefSeq and is a predicted model, not a curated record. Lineage: Eukaryota; Metazoa; Chordata; Mammalia; Pholidota; Manidae.
UCCAUCUUAGAAAAGAAAAAGCAGGACAAACAAUAUAGAGAAGAUUAGCCUGGCCCCUGUAACAAGGAUGACACACAAAUUCAUGAAGUGUGUUCCAUAGUUUU